UGGGCGUAAGGGCUCGCAGGCGGUUUCUUAAGUCUGAUGUGAAAGCCCCCGGCUCAACCGGGGAGGGUCAUUGGAAACUGGGAAACUUGAGUGCACAAGAGGAGAGUGGAAUUCCACGUGUAGCGGUGAAAUGCGUAGAGAUGUGGAGGAACACCAGUGGCGAAGGCGACUCUCUGGUCUGUAACUGACGCUGAGGAGCGAAAGCGUGGGGAGCGAACAGGAUUAGAUACCCUGGUAGUCCACGCCGUAAACGAUGAGUGCUAAGUGUUAGGGGGUUUCCGCCCCUUAGUGCUGCAGCUAACGCAUUAAGCACUCCGCCUGGGGAGUACGGUCGCAAGACUGAAACUCAAAGGAAUUGACGGGGGCCCGCACAAGCGGUGGAGCAUGUGGUUUAAUUCGAAGCAACGCGAAGAACCUUACCAGGUCUUGACAUCCUCUGACAACCCUAGAGAUAGGGCUUUCCCUUCGGGGACAGAGUGACAGGUGGUGCAUGGUUGUCGUCAGCUCGUGUCGUGAGAUGUUGGGUUAAGUCCCGCAACGAGCGCAACCCUUGAUCUUAGUUGCCAGCAUUCAGUUGGGCACUCUAAGGUGACUGCCGGUG
Molecule: ribosomal RNA, 601 nt
Filed under: Bacillus pumilus
Lineage: Bacteria; Bacillati; Bacillota; Bacilli; Caryophanales; Bacillaceae
Description: bacterial SSU rRNA
Rfam family: Bacterial small subunit ribosomal RNA
Source: RNAcentral